CAAAUUUGCAGAGAAGGAUCAACACGUCUUUUUUCAUUGUAUUUAUCAUCUCUCUAUCUUUUUUCCACAAAAUAAAAUAAAGUUCAAACAAGUUCUAAUCUUUGAUUUUUAUUUUGAUUAUACCUCGAUUAAAGAUGUCUGUGAUCGGUAUCGACUUGGGAAACUUGAAUGCUGUUGUGGCUCAAGCAGGGAGAGGGGGAAUAGAUAUUCUUCUAAAUGAAAAUUCAAAUCGUUUGAACCCCUCAAUGGUU
This 251-nucleotide non-coding RNA is filed under the name Chattonella subsalsa. Lineage: Eukaryota; Raphidophyceae; Chattonellales; Chattonellaceae. The record is from RNAcentral.